AUACUUACCUGGCAGGGGAGAUACCAUGAUCACAAAGGUCAUUUUCUUACAGUGAGACUCAUCCAUUGCACUCCAGAUGCAGAACCCUGCGAUUUCCCCAAAUGUGGGAAACUUGACUGCCUAAUGUGUGGUAGUCGGGGACUGAAUUCACAAUCUCCCC
Small nuclear RNA from Sorex fumeus (smoky shrew), 160 nucleotides. RefSeq annotates it as U1 spliceosomal RNA. The transcript has a single exon. Lineage: Eukaryota; Metazoa; Chordata; Mammalia; Eulipotyphla; Soricidae. The record is from RefSeq and is a predicted model, not a curated record.